Molecule: non-coding RNA, 1924 nt
Organism: Macaca mulatta (Rhesus monkey)
Lineage: Eukaryota; Metazoa; Chordata; Mammalia; Primates; Cercopithecidae
Source: RefSeq, a predicted model, not a curated record
GUGAGCUGAGAUCAUGCAACUGCACUCCAGUCUGGGCAACUCCGUCUCAAAAACAAACAAAAGAAGGGUCAUCUCAUAAAUGAGACAGGUUGGGUAAAUUGCCUCACAUCAUAGGGCCUUGCACAUACAGAAAAAAAGUAAGAGUUGCUCUUAUUGUUGCUUUUAUCAGUGGGUACCCAUUACUAGCCCAACCCACCCUUAACCUCUAGGUGAAAUUAGAAACCAUGUGUUCUGACUGUCUGUAUUCAUCAGGAUGCAUAAGGAAAACAGAAACCCCUCUAGGUAUUUCAAUCAGGAAGAUAUUUAAUACAGGGAAUGCAAUGCUGCAGCAUUUAAGAUAGCAGGGUGUGCAGGGAUUCUUGCAGAGCACUACUACUGAGGUCCUCAGCUGCCUACAGUACCAAUGUGGGUUACUUAAGAUAAAAUGUCCAGAAGAUGCUGGAAGACACCAUAUGUCUGCUUUCUGCGAAAGUCCCACUGCUAGUAGAAUAAUAAUGCUUUCUUCUUCUCUCCUGUCUUCCCUAUCUCACAUGAGUACUUCACACUGGGGGAAGCUGAACUGGAACUCUACUGACAAGGCAGUUGGGAGUUCAAACUUAAUAACCUUCCAGAGUUGGUAUCAAAUUCAGACGCUGACACUCCUUGGAGAGGUUCUUUGCUGCAAGAGGAUGGAAAGGAUCACUCUGAUUUUGUUUUUCUCCUGCUGCUCUGUCUGGAAGCCAUGUGAGGGGGACAUCUGAGCAGCCCUGUGGAGAGGCCCUGAGCCAACAGCCAGCAUGAACUUGCUGGGCAUGUGAGUGCACCACCUUGGAAUUGGAGCCUCCACCCCCGGUCAAGCCAUCAGGUGAGAUUGCAGCCCUGGCUUAUAUCUGACCACAACCUCAUGAGCAACCCAGAACCAGGCCACCCAGGGAGAGCUCAGGCUGGCCUGUUGGAGGAUGACAGGCCACAUGCAACAGAUGUGAAGUGUCCCAGCUGACCCCAUUCCAGAACACACUUCCCUUCCAGAUGACCACAGAUGUAUGAGAGAGCCAGCCAAUAUCUGCUGAGACAUCCCCAGAAAGACAGAACAUCCAGCUGACCCAUGGACUCAUGGACAAUCAUGGAUAAAUGGAUAUUGUUUCAAGCUGCUAGGUUUGGGGUUGGUUUGUUACACAGCAAUAGCUAACAGCUACACCUCUAUUUUAAGGAGUUGUGAAGAUAAAUUGUAAAGGUACAGAAAAAUGAAUAGCUAUAACAGCAGUAGUGAUUGAGUGCUGGCUCUGCCUGGUACUGUGCUUAGGAUUGGCAUGCAUUAUCUCAAAGACUUGCAGAGGCUAGAAGGGCUGCAGCUGAAGAUUCUAGAAGAGUUCGGGUAUAAUGCCUGGCACAUGGUACCUGUUUCCUGUAUGCUAGUUGUUGGAUGCUGCUGAUGCUAGCAGCACGUGGAACUCCUGACACAUGCCUCUGAUUUGGUAGUGGGGUCUGAACUUUGUAAUCUAUGUGUCCUAGAGACCUUGGGAAGUCUUUAGCUAAGGGCAGACCAGGAGGUAGCUUUUGUAAUCUGAGAGCAGAGAGGUUUUUUAGCGUGAAUGGCAUCCAGGUAGCGUGGGGAAAAGGCAUUAGCCAGGGUGCUCCACACACUCCCCUCACUAGUGUGGUCCCUGGACCAGCAGCCUCAGCCUCCCCUGGGCCCUUAUUAGAAAUGCAGAGUCUCAGGUCCUACCCCCGCUUACUGAAUCGGUAAGCGCGUUUUAACAAGAUCCCUGGGGGAUUUGUGUGCACGUUAGAGUUUGUCCAGAACACUCUGCUCAAGCGAUCUGUGCUGAGGCACCGGUAUUUUUUUUCAAAUUCCAAUUUAUUGCAGAAUGACCGUUUAAAAAAAUACAGUAAAAAAGCAAAUUCCUAGAAAAAUUAAAUGAAAAAUAAAACAUAUGAAAUCUAA